AACGAACGCUGGCGGCAUGCCUAACACAUGCAAGUCGAAAGAGACCUUCGGGUCUAGUUGCGCACGGGUGCGUAACGCGUGGGAACCUGCCCUUAGGUUCGGAAUAACUCCCCGAAAGGGGUGCUAAUACCGGAUAAUGUCUUCGGACCAAAGAUUUAUCGCCUUUGGAUGGGCCCGCGUUGGAUUAGCUAGUUGGUAGGGUAAAAGCCUACCAAGGCGACGAUCCAUAGCUGGUCUGAGAGGAUGAUCAGCCACACUGGGACUGAGACACGGCCCAGACUCCUACGGGAGGCAGCAGUGGGGAAUAUUGGACAAUGGGCGAAAGCCUGAUCCAGCAAUGCCGCGUGAGUGAUGAAGGCCUUAGGGUUGUAAAGCUCUUUUACCCGGGAUGAUAAUGACAGUACCGGGAGAAUAAGCGCCGGCUAACUCCGUG
This 433-nucleotide ribosomal RNA is filed under the name uncultured bacterium. RNAcentral describes it as "partial 16S ribosomal RNA". It matches the Rfam family "Bacterial small subunit ribosomal RNA", at positions 29 to 507 of the family's 1533-position model. The record is from RNAcentral.